UCUCCGUAGGUGAACCUGCGGAAGGAUCAUUCAUAAUAAGUGUUUUAUGGCACUUUUUUAAAUCCAUAUCCACCUUGUGUGCAAUGUCAGGGUUGAUUUUUCUCUCGAGAAGAUCAGCCCCAAACAUCAACUAUAUCUCAACUCUUUGUCUGAAAAAUAUUAUGAAUAAAACAAUUCAAAAUACAACUUUCAACAACGGAUCUCUUGGCUCUC
This 213-nucleotide unclassified non-coding RNA is filed under the name plant metagenome. Its description in RNAcentral is "partial contains small subunit ribosomal RNA, internal transcribed spacer 1, and 5.8S ribosomal RNA". The record is from RNAcentral.